CUCUGGCCAGUGUCCCAGCCACUCUGUGGCAUCUCAUGAGCUGGGCAGGCACAGAUAUUGUCUUCCCACUGUGGCUGCACCUGUCUCUGAGUCUGGCCUCACUCUGGCUUCCUGCCCAGGCUGGUCCCAGGAACUUGGCCUGGGACACCUGAACUCUGGACUAAGGUCUACUCUGGUCCAUGAAGAAGGGCCACCCCAGUCCCUGAGACCAGGGCUAGCUCUCAGCAGCCAGUGGGUGACCUCUGUGGGUGUCCUGGGAAGUCCUGAGGGCCCCAGAUGGAGGGGGAGGCAGACCAUGGAGGAUGAGGAGCCCCCGGGGGAGGGGAGGCCUGACACUCCUGGAGGUGGAGCCUGCUGGGCACAGCGCCACAGGUACGGGGUGCCAGAUGGACACCUCCAAGGCCAUGCCCUGUGCUGCUGCCCCAGACAAGGCUCCCACCCAUCGGCAUGCCGCCCCCAUUUUUGUCUCUAACAUUCUAGAAAAUCAGGAAGCCACCGCCGCCACCACCCCCAGAAAAGAAGCCCAAGAAAGUGCCUCCUCCACCGCCCCCGCCCCCGCCGCCCCCCGUGACCGUGUGUCCCACAGUGAUCGUCUGCUGCUGUGCCUGCCAGGGGGUGUGGGUGAGCAGAGUGUCCCAGGGCACCCUGGACGGCUUCUACAACUACAUCCAGCCCACCUGCCACCCUUCACCGAUGAUGUUGUGCCGGGCCAGGGGCCAGGAGAGGUGGCCCAACCUCGCCCUCAUGAAGGCCCCCAGCAGCUCCAGCCUCUGCCUUCAACCCAGCCUGGAGAGUCUCCCCCUCAUCUGGUGUCCCCAGUGCCACCACCUCCCAGACAGUUUUAG
RNAcentral lists this long non-coding RNA (845 nucleotides) under Oryctolagus cuniculus (rabbit). RNAcentral describes it as "lncRNA (ENSOCUG00000035559.1)". Lineage: Eukaryota; Metazoa; Chordata; Mammalia; Lagomorpha; Leporidae. The record is from RNAcentral.